This 568-nucleotide ribosomal RNA is filed under the name uncultured bacterium. RNAcentral's name for it is "bacterial SSU rRNA". It matches the Rfam family "Bacterial small subunit ribosomal RNA", at positions 338 to 916 of the family's 1533-position model. The record is from RNAcentral.
CCUACGGGAGGCAGCAGUGGGGAAUAUUGCACAAUGGGCGAAAGCCUGAUGCAGCGACGCCGCGUGAGGGAUGACGGCCUUCGGGUUGUAAACCUCUUUCAGCAGGGAAGAAGCGCAAGUGACGGUACCUGCAGAAGAAGCACCGGCUAACUACGUGCCAGCAGCCGCGGUAAUACGUAGGGUGCGAGCGUUGUCCGGAAUUAUUGGGCGUAAAGAGCUCGUAGGCGGUCUGUCGCGUCGGAUGUGAAAGCCCGGGGCUUAACCCCGGGUCUGCAUUCGAUACGGGCAGACUAGAGUGUGGUAGGGGAGAUCGGAAUUCCUGGUGUAGCGGUGAAAUGCGCAGAUAUCAGGAGGAACACCGGUGGCGAAGGCGGAUCUCUGGGCCAUUACUGACGCUGAGGAGCGAAAGCGUGGGGAGCGGACAGGAUUAGAUACCCUGGUAGUCCACGCCGUAAACGUUGGGAACUAGGUGUUGGCGACAUUCCACGUCGUCGGUGCCGCAGCUAACGCAUUAAGUUCCCCGCCUGGGGAGUACGGCCGCAAGGCUAAAACUCAAAGGAAUUGACGG